RNAcentral lists this ribosomal RNA (837 nucleotides) under uncultured bacterium. RNAcentral's name for it is "bacterial SSU rRNA". It matches the Rfam family "Bacterial small subunit ribosomal RNA", at positions 28 to 898 of the family's 1533-position model. The record is from RNAcentral.
GACGAAUGCUGGCGUAAUGCCUAAGCCGGGUGCUUCACGGGGUAGCAAUACCACUGGCGCACGGGUGAGUAACACUUAAGUUAUCUGCCCCCAUCGCGUGGAAACCUCGGGAAACCGAGGCUAAUAUCUGAUGAGGUCGUGAGAUCAAAGCUUCGGCGGAUGGGGAUGAGCCUGCUGCUGAUUAGCUGUUUGGUGAGGUAAUGGCUCACCUCAGCGACAAUCAGUAACUUGUCUGAUACGACCAAGUCCCCCACUGGAACUGAAACACGGGCCUUACUCCUAUUGGACGCAGCGCUUUCGAAUAUUGGUCAAUGGGAGCAAUCCUGAACCUUUAAUGCCACGUGUGGGAUGAAAGCCCUUCCCCUCUUAAACCACUGUCGGAGCUGACGAAAGGAGCUAUGAAGCUCUAUGACGGUACUAUCAAAGGAAGGAUCGGCUAACUACGUGCUUUCAGCCCCGGUAGUACUUAUGAUCCAAGCGUUGUCCGGAGUUACUGGGUAUCCCCGGUGCGUAGGCGGCCUUGUGCGUCCCACGUGAAAUAUUCUGGCCUAUCUCUCAGGGUGCCUGUGAUUGAGCAUGGUCUGAGUGCGACAGACGAUGAUCGACUUCCUGAUGUAUCACUUCAAUGCGUAGAUAUCCGGACGAACACUCGUCGCUAAGGCAGUCAUCUGUCUCCCGACUGACCCUUACGGUAUUAAACCCUGGGGAUCAAAGGUGAUUACAUACCCUGGGGCUCAUCUCCCCACAUUACGUACGCGUGCUGUUCUGGUCUCUAGGUCCCGUGCCCUACGAGCUCGUGUAAGCACACCCCCUAGCGUUUACUAUCACAAGGAUGAA